Molecule: ribosomal RNA, 253 nt
Filed under: uncultured bacterium
Lineage: Bacteria
Description: partial 16S ribosomal RNA
Rfam family: Bacterial small subunit ribosomal RNA
Source: RNAcentral
GACGAACCACACAAACGUUAUUCGGAAUUACUGGGCUUAAAGGGUGCGUAGGCUGUGCGGAAAGUUGGGUGUGAAAUCCCUCGGCUUAACCGAGGAAUUGCGCCCAAAACUACUGUGCUCGAGGGAGGUAGAGGUGAGCGGAACUUAGGGUGGAGCGGUGAAAUGCGUUGAUAUCCUAAGGAACACCGGUGGCGAAAGCGGCUCACUGGACCUCUUCUGACGCUGAGGCACGAAAGCUAGGGUAGCAAACGGG